RNAcentral lists this ribosomal RNA (864 nucleotides) under uncultured bacterium. RNAcentral's name for it is "bacterial SSU rRNA". It matches the Rfam family "Bacterial small subunit ribosomal RNA", at positions 623 to 1489 of the family's 1533-position model. The record is from RNAcentral.
GCAUCCGAUACGGUCGAGCUAGAGUUNGGUAGGGGAGACUGGAAUUCCUGGUGUAGCGGUGGAAUGCGCAGAUAUCAAGAGGAACACCGAUGGCGAAGGCAGGUNUCUGGGCCAAUACUGACACUGAGGAGCGAAAGCGUGGGGAGCGAACAGGAUUAGAUACCCUGGUAGUCCACGCCGUAAACGGUGGGCGCUAGUUGUGCGAACCUUCCACGGUUUGUGCGACGCAGCUAACGCAUUAAGCGCCCCGCCUGGGGAGUACGAUCGCAAGAUUAAAACUCAAAGGAAUUGACGGGGCCCCGCACAAGCAGCGGAGCAUGCGGCUUAAUUNGACGCUACGCGAAGAACCUUACCAAGGCUUGACAUAUACAGGAAUACGGCAGAGAUGUCGUAGCCGCAAGGUCUGUAUACAGGUGGUGCAUGGUUGUCGUCAGCUCGUGUCGUGAGAUGUUGGGUUAAGUCCCGCAACGAGCGCAACCCUCGUUCUGUGUUGCCAGCAUUUAGUUGGGGACUCACAGGAGACUGCCGGGGUUAACUCGGAGGAAGGUGGGGAUGACGUCAAAUCAUCAUGCCCCUUAUGUCUUGGGCUGCACGCAUGCUACAAUGGCUGGUACAAACGGCUGCAAUACCGCAAGGUGGAGCGAAUCCGAGAAAGCCAGUCUCAGUUCGGAUUGGGGUCUGCAACUCGACCCCAUGAAGUCGGAGUUGCUAGUAAUCGUAGAUCAGCAACGCUACGGUGAAUACGUUCCCGGGGCUUGUACACACCGCCCGUCACAUCACGAAAGUCGGUAACACCCAAAGUCAGUGGCCCAACCGCAAGGAGGGAGCUGCCAAAGGUGGGAUCGGUGAUUGGGAUGAAGUCGU